AUAUAGAGAACUAGGUAAAACCGGUUCGAAAUUACAACACUAAGGUAUUUUGACCACUAUUUUCAGCUGACCUUUUAAGUCUAAAAAAGAGAACCAAGCAACAGAUUUCAAUGAGUUUUAUAGUUUGUAUAUAUAUUUUUGAUUUAUGAUCACAGAGCACGUCAUGUAUGAACCUGUGAAGCAUUAACGAAAAUAAAUUGUUGGCUAUCUCCGACAUUUCAAAAAUUAUAAAUCUUAAAAUGCAAAGAUUGUUCAUGGACGAAAUUAAUUUUUCACAAUCAAAAAUAAAAAUUGAAGGAUAAAAAGUAAUAUCAGAGGCCGACACUCUUUCAUUGAAUUUCGAAAUUAUUAUGGUUCUGAGCUGUUCAGCCUACCGGACCUGCCAAUGCUCCACCCUGAAUUGUCGAGUAAUUUCAGUGAUGUGGGGCUUAAAAUAUGGUCAACAAAUAUCAAAAUUGAAAUAUCUUUCAGAUUAUGUGUGUUUUGUUGGCUUUUAAACAUUUGAAACUGUAUUUAGUUGAUGUUGAAGACACAACCGCCAUUGGUGUCCUUGGUCACCCUGUCCCACUAAAUGUAAUAUUUUUUGAAAACAAGACCGAGUCGGCAUCUAAAUGAAUCACUAAAAUAAUAAAAAAUACUCACAUUAUAACAUAUCAAAAUAUCAAAGAUCAUCUAAAUCGGGAAAUUUGGCAAUUGGCUUCCGAAUAUGAAACUUAGUUUUUUUAGAAACUGAACAGUCCUGAACAAAAACAACAAUAUUUGGUAAAACUGUCGGAGGUUGGCGUGCAAAAGGACUUUUUUGAAAUCAAAAUUCAAUUUUCUUUCCAGAUAUGCAUGUUUUAUUGCAGUUUUGAUGUUGUAAGCUACAUUUUUCUGGUCUGGAAUGUAUUAGCGUCCUUCCUGCUAAAGGUCUCACUGUAACAUUCAAUAGAAUAUUACUAAAAAACAAGACCGAGUCGGCAUCUAUUGAAGUCACCAUAUUUAAGCAAAUUAAAUUCUCUAUCUGAUUAGAUAAUUUUUAAAACCAAUAUAAAUCGGGAACUCGCAGAAUUCGGUGUUGAACCCUGCGGGCCAUGAUUUACAGCCACAAGUUGCGUACUGUAAAUGCUGCUAAUAUACGUUUGUCGCUAGCAGACGCACGACGUUGCAUUCGAUUGGCUAAGCGACGUUUUAUUUGCUGACAGAGAACACUUUUUAGUUUCAACAUGUUUUCUGACGUUUUUGUUGAUAUUAGUUUAUGUUGAUGGGAAACGGAAGUUAAUGCAUAGGUAAUUUUAAAACCUGUUUUUUCAUCGUGGGAGAUUAUCAGUGACCGGUUGGGUGAUUUUGUGUUUUAGCUUCAUAUCUGUGAUAUUCAAAUAGCUGGGAAUUACUCAAGUUGGCCUCUAGAGCAGUGAGGUCUGAGACAAAAAGAACCAUGAAAAAAUGUAUCAAGCAAGGCUAUGUAAAUUGUAAACCAUAUUAAGUAUAUUCUUCAUUAAUGAUUAUAAAUGUUAUUUAUAUACAUUGUGAUAAAUGUUUUGUCUCACAGGGAAGACGUCUUGGUAUCGGUUAAGCGAACAUAGCAUGAGCUGCCAUUUGGGCGGGAAUGCGAAUUACCUACAACCUGAUCUAAAGGACCAUGAAAAAAUGUAUCAAGCAAGGCUAUGUAAAUUGUAAACCAUAUUAAGUAUAUUCUUCAUUAAUGAUUGUAAAUCUUUUGUCUCACAGGGAAGACUUCUUGGUAUCGGUUGGGCGAACAUAGCACGAGCUGCCAUUUGGGCGGGAAUGCGUAUUAACCUACAAUCUUGAACCUGUUAUUGGCUACGCGCCCUAAUCCACGAAGAAGAAGAAAGAAGAAGCUUGUGCUACGUCUGCCUUAUCGUUACCAACGUCUUAAGUGAAACACUUUCAGCAGUGCAGAUGAGAAAAAUUAAUUGAGCAAAUAUAAUGUCGUAGGUACAUAUCACAUAUAAACCAGGUUACCAUCAACAUGUCGGGUGUAACAGGCGGAUUGCGCUGAAAUUUCAGCACAGUGUCCAGAGUAAUGGUGAAACUUCAGUUUUUUACAUUAAAGAUUAUAAAGAAACACAAUUUUGAUGAAGAGUAACCAAUGAACUUGAACAGUGAACACUAGAGUAACUAAUUCAACUAUUUGUUGUUAUGCAGACUGCCCGCCAGCGGACGGAGGCCAACCGACGGACGCCGGCUCAAAGGCCAACAGUGGCCCGCCCGCCGGCCGACACCGGCCCGCCGGCCGACACCGGCCCGCCGGCCGACGGUGGCUCGUCGACCGACACCGGCCCGUCGGCCGACUACGGCCCUCCGGCUGAUGGUGGCUCGCCAGCCGACGGAGGUCCGCCGGCCAUUCGUGGCACGCCCGCCGACGGCAGCUCGACGACACGUCCUGGCUAUGCCACCCCCAAGAUUACUUCGCCCCCCCCCCCCCCCCCAAGUCCCUAGGUCACCAGUUGCGGGCGCUUCAUCUGACGGUGUCGUCCGACGGCUCCACGGUGACCAGCGCCGCCACUGCGGAAACCAUCGGACCCCAAAAAUGCUGCUAGCCGUACACGAACAAAAGGCGCCAGGCACCCAGGACCAGCGCCCUGCUCCGAGGCGGUAUCUAAAGAAGGCCGCAUAGCACUUGCUGUGCUAAGGCAUAGUGCGCGCUGACUGAUGGAACAAAUGACGGUCAGUUAUCAGAUCUCAGUAUGGAACUCAAGAUGGUCGGAGCCGACCUGGCCCGGUGGAUGGUGUGCCAGGGUUGAUUAAGUGUCGAAAGGAGUGAGACGCCCAGAUAUGUGAAGGAUACGUCGAUACGAGCCCCGGCUUCGACUCCCCGUCCCAAAACGAUGUUGGCUGUGAUUGGAGUUUGGUAUCUUUACGGAUUUCCCCCCCCCCCCCCCUGAAUUUGUGCUAUGUAAUAGGACGAUAAUAUGUCGUGGUCUCAUUCUGGCUCGAUAUGGUAAUAGGUACUUAAUUGGACAGAUGUUGAUGGUAUUGGCGGUGGAUGUAAAUGACAGGUUUGGCGAGCGCGAACUAGUAAUCGUGAGUGCACUAACUGCAAUCAGUCGCGCGCUUAUUGCUGAGCACCUGUGAGCAAGAAAAUGGUAUGAAAGUGGUAGUUCGUCGUGAAAUCUGUGUACUUUUGGAUUAAGUUUUCAGAACGGAAGUGUAUUUUUGCCAUGUCCACUGCAGCUCUGGAACAGAAACAUAGAGAUCGGCUGUGUGCUGUAGCAGGGGCAAGUAGUCCGUGCCAAAAAAUCAAAGGUGAUAUGUGAAUUUAAGUGAAUAUACCUCGCUUUAUUUUCAA
This is a long non-coding RNA of Amphibalanus amphitrite, 3292 nucleotides long. RefSeq lists it as uncharacterized. Lineage: Eukaryota; Metazoa; Arthropoda; Thecostraca; Balanomorpha; Balanidae. The transcript has 2 exons. The record is from RefSeq and is a predicted model, not a curated record.